UUCAUAUCAUGUGAUAUUUCACUAUUGGCUAUAACAGCCGAUUUCACCAUAUUUUUCGAAUCGGCUUUAACAGCCGAUUUCACUGUAUCAUCAUCGGCCGUCCCGGCCUUCUUGUUGCACACAACGUCAUUGGCCAGCUGGGCCGAAUUUAUCACACAGCCGAUCUUGUCGAUCGGCUCUUCUUGCCGAAGCUCCUCUAAAGCUUCGGUUCCUGAUUCCUCACGUUCCAUUUUAGCCAAUUUGGUGGCUCUUCGGUU
This 257-nucleotide long non-coding RNA is filed under the name Ananas comosus (pineapple). RNAcentral's name for it is "long non-coding RNA (ACOM_LNC001799)". Lineage: Eukaryota; Viridiplantae; Streptophyta; Magnoliopsida; Poales; Bromeliaceae. The record is from RNAcentral.